GCUAAUAAGAUGAUUUCUUCAUUUUUCAUCGUUGGAUGCGAGCCAGUUUUAUCCCAUGGGGCUCUCAGCUCAUCGGUUUCUCUCUCCCUACUAAUCUAGCCUAAUGGAGGCUAUCGAGAUGGAAGCUGUCAAGAUCGUGCCCAGUGUCAUACUAGAAGCUAGGUUGCAGCUGCACCUUUUGGCGGUGCAACUACCUAUUAGAAUUAGGUUUUUUUGUGCGUAGUGGCCUUUAAAGACUGAAUUGAGGCGAGCUUAUUUAGAUGUUACUUUUGUUAUUUUUAGCUUUACUUCUAUUUGUCUCAAAAAAACCAUAAGAGUGUUAAUAUAUUUCGCUAUUUCCC
Long non-coding RNA from Lolium perenne, 341 nucleotides. RefSeq lists it as uncharacterized. The record is from RefSeq and is a predicted model, not a curated record. Lineage: Eukaryota; Viridiplantae; Streptophyta; Magnoliopsida; Poales; Poaceae.